Molecule: ribosomal RNA, 439 nt
Filed under: Eubranchus sp. 'Amphorina' 1 TK-2019
Lineage: Eukaryota; Metazoa; Mollusca; Gastropoda; Nudibranchia; Eubranchidae
Description: partial large subunit ribosomal RNA
Rfam family: Bacterial large subunit ribosomal RNA
Source: RNAcentral
AGCCAGAGGAAGAUAUUUUUGGUUUAACCUGCCCAAUGUAUUAUUGUAUGAAUGGCCGCGGUACCCUGACCGUGCUAAGGUAGCGUAAUCAGUUGGCUUUUAAAUGGAGUCAGGUAUGAAUGGGAUAACCGGGCUUAGCUGUCUCAAAGACAUUUAUUUGAAUUUACUGUUCAAGUGAAAAAGCUUGACGUAAGAAAAGGGACGAGAAGACCCUUAGAAUUUUGUUUAAAGAGGAUUAUCUCCUCUAUGAUUUUGUUGGGGCGACAGAGAAAUAAUUAAAACUUUCUUUAAACUAAUCAGUCGGAAUUUUCAGGUUAGGAUAAAUUACCUGAGGGAUAACAGCAUAAUUUUAUAAAUAAGUUUGUGACCUCGAUGUUGGACUAGGAAGCUAAUGGGUUAGCUGCUCAUUGUGCGGAUUCUGUUCGAAUUUUAACUCCUA